RNAcentral lists this ribosomal RNA (332 nucleotides) under uncultured eukaryote. RNAcentral's name for it is "partial 18S ribosomal RNA". It matches the Rfam family "Eukaryotic small subunit ribosomal RNA", at positions 1470 to 1796 of the family's 1831-position model. The record is from RNAcentral.
CCCUUAGAUGUCCUGGGCUGCACGCGCGCUACACUGGAAGUUACGGAUUGAGAUACUACCUUGUCCGAAAUGGUCCGGGUAAUCACCUAAAAGCUUGUCAUAAUUGGAAUGGAUUAUUGUAACUAGUAAUCCUGAACGAGGAAUUCCUAGUAAGUCCCAGUCAACAGCUGGUACUGAUUACGUCCCUGCCCUUUGUACACACCGCCCGUCGCUACUACUGAUUGGACGUUUAAGCAAGAUUUUUAAACACUGACAGUGUGUAGUUCACGCUAUACUACAGUGAGAAGAAGAAGACCGAACUUACUUGUCUAGAGGAAGUAAAAGUCGUAACA